RNAcentral lists this ribosomal RNA (469 nucleotides) under uncultured bacterium. RNAcentral describes it as "bacterial SSU rRNA". It matches the Rfam family "Bacterial small subunit ribosomal RNA", at positions 28 to 507 of the family's 1533-position model. The record is from RNAcentral.
GAUGAACGCUAGCGGCAGGCCUAAUACAUGCAAGUCGAACGGUGUCUUCGGACAUAGUGGCGCACGGGUGCGUAACACGUAUGCAACCUACCUUACAUUGGGGGAUAGCCUUUCGAAAGGGAGAUUAAUACCGCAUAAGACAGUAGCUGGGCAUCCAGCAGCUGUUAAAGAUUUAUCGAUGUAAGAUGGGCAUGCGUCCAAUUAGUUAGUUGGCGAGGUAACGGCUCACCAAGACUUUGAUUGGUAGGGGAACUGAGAGGUCAAUCCCCCACACUGGCACUGGGAUACGGGCCAGACUCCUACGGGAGGCAGCAGUAGGGAAUAUUGGGCAAUGGACGCAAGUCUGACCCAGCCAUGCCGCGUGCAGGAUGAAGGCGUUAUGCGUUGUAAACUGCUUUUAUACAGGAAGAAACGACUCUUGCGAGAGGCAUUGACGGUACUGUAUGAAUAAGCACCGGCUAACUCCGUG